CCUAGUGGCAAUAGCGUUGUGGACCCACCUGAACCCAUGCCGAACUCAGAAGUGAAACGCAACUGCGCCGAUGAUAGUGUG
RNAcentral lists this ribosomal RNA (81 nucleotides) under Agarivorans sp. 3_MG-2023. The record is from RNAcentral. Lineage: Bacteria; Pseudomonadati; Pseudomonadota; Gammaproteobacteria; Alteromonadales; Alteromonadaceae.